RNAcentral lists this ribosomal RNA (858 nucleotides) under uncultured actinomycete. Its description in RNAcentral is "bacterial SSU rRNA". It matches the Rfam family "Bacterial small subunit ribosomal RNA", at positions 516 to 1371 of the family's 1533-position model. The record is from RNAcentral. Lineage: Bacteria; Bacillati; Actinomycetota; Actinomycetes; Actinomycetales.
CGCGGUAAUACGUAGGGCGCAAGCGUUAUCCGGAAUUAUUGGGCGUAAAGAGCUCGUAGGCGGUUUGUCGCGUCUGCCGUGAAAGUCCGGGGCUCAACUCCGGAUCUNCGGUGGGUACGGGCAGACUAGAGUGAUGUAGGGGAGACUGGAAUUCCUGGUGUAGCGGUGAAAUGCGCAGAUAUCAGGAGGAACACCGAUGGCGAAGGCAGGUCUCUGGGCAUUAACUGACGCUGAGGAGCGAAAGCAUGGGGAGCGAACAGGAUUAGAUACCCUGGUAGUCCAUGCCGUAAACGUUGGGCACUAGGUGUGGGGGACAUUCCACGUUUUCCGCGCCGUAGCUAACGCAUUAAGUGCCCCGCCUGGGGAGUACGGCCGCAAGGCUAAAACUCAAAGGAAUUGNCGGGGGCCCGCACAAGCGGCGGAGCAUGCGGAUUAAUUCGAUGCAACGCGAAGAACCUUACCAAGGCUUGACAUGAACCGGUAAGACCUGGAAACAGGUCCCCCACUUGUGGCCGGNUUACAGGUGGUGCAUGNUUGUCGUCAGCUCGUGUCGUGAGAUGUUGGGUUAAGUNCCNCAACGAGCGCAACCCUCGUUCNAUGUUUCCAGCGCGUUAUGGCGGGGACUCAUGGGAGACUNCCGGGGUCAACUCGGAGGAAGGUGGGGNCGACGUCAAAUCAUCAUGCCCCUUAUGUCUUGGGCUUCACGCAUGCUACAAUGGCCGGUACAAAGGGUUGCGAUACUGUGAGGUGGAGCUAAUCCCCCAAAGCCGGUCUCAGUUCGGAUUGGGGUCUGCAACUCGACCCCAUGAAGUCGGAGUCGCUAGUAAUCGCAGAUCAGNAACGUUGCGGUGAAUACGU